This 364-nucleotide unclassified non-coding RNA is filed under the name uncultured fungus. RNAcentral describes it as "partial contains 5.8S ribosomal RNA and internal transcribed spacer 2". The stretch from base 1 to 133 matches the Rfam family "5.8S ribosomal RNA", at positions 22 to 154 of the family's 154-position model. The record is from RNAcentral. Lineage: Eukaryota; Fungi.
UGGCUCUCGCAUCGAUGAAGAACGCAGCGAAAUGCGAUAAGUAAUGUGAAUUGCAGAAUUCAGUGAAUCAUCGAAUCUUUGAACGCACCUUGCGCCCCUUGGUAUUCCGAGGGGCAUGCCCGUUUGAGUGUCUUGAAUUCCUCGCCCCCCUCGGGUUUAGCAGCCUGGGGCCGGGCGGAAGUGGGGGCCUGCUGCGGAGACGCGGCUCCCCUCAAAUCCAUCGGCGCGGUUUGCCGGCGUCACCGUUGGGCGUUGUACUUCCCUCGCCUGCCGCGGUGGACUGUCCGGUCGCGCCCCGACCAGCCUGCAGAGUGGCGGUCAACCUCUGAAAUCUGACCUCAAAUCGGGUAGGACUACCCGCUGA